Molecule: long non-coding RNA, 113 nt
Filed under: Amphimedon queenslandica
Lineage: Eukaryota; Metazoa; Porifera; Demospongiae; Haplosclerida; Niphatidae
Description: uncharacterized LOC109591168
Source: RNAcentral
ACCAGUUGAUGAUAUAUCCAAUACACCAGUUACUAAUAUAAGAGGUCAGUCUGAUGUAGCUAAACCCAUUAGUUCACUACCUGAUGAUGUUCAAGGAUAUGCUGACAAUAUGA